UUUUCGUUGUUUUUUUGGUGUUUUUUUUCUCAAAAUAAAAACAAAUGACAUACAUCAAUAUAGAAUUUACUAGAGCAGACAAUACAGCUCCCAAUUGUAAACAUGGUAUUCGUUUUCAUUACCAACAAUUUUAAAGUUAUUUAAUUUAAUUUCUUGAAAUGACUACUAAUGUGAUCUUUACAUCCAUUUUAUUAACCAUUACUUGUAGCAUUGUUAAGGAUAAAUUGGCCAAAAAAUACGUGGUUAUAUUUUAUGAACACGACAAAGUAUUGUUAUUCCCUAAUUUUAAAAACAUAAGGACAACACUAAAAAAAACGUAUUUAUUAAUUUAGUUAUUGCAAAAUAUGCUCUAGAUUCAUUAUCUUAGGGAUCAUAGAGUUGACUCAAUGAAGUCAAAUUACAGAGGAAAUUAAAUGUGCCUGAAUAAAAAAUAAAUCGGG
Molecule: long non-coding RNA, 440 nt
Filed under: Mytilus galloprovincialis (Mediterranean mussel)
Lineage: Eukaryota; Metazoa; Mollusca; Bivalvia; Mytilida; Mytilidae
Source: RNAcentral